ACCGACGCCGACGCCGCAACCACCGGAGCCCCUUCAAGAUCGCCGCACGCUAGGACCUUCGCCAAUGGAUGUCAGGUAUAUUGUUUUAUUCUAAGUGUCUAACCAUACUUUUUUUAUGUACUCUAGAUGGGACCCAGGACCAAGGAGGAUCGCCGCCGCCACUACAAGAUCGUCCCCGCCGGAGCAAAGGACUUCGAAGAUCUUUAAAUGGAGCAGACAAAGUUUCCCAAUAGGAUUCUUCUAUUGAGUAGGGCAUUUGGCCCAGACAAAGCUGUUGCAUUCCUAUGCUGCUCUCCAAUUAUCAAUGGUCAUCGAAACCUACAGAAAAAAAACAGAUUUAUCACAAAGGUUGCAGAAGACGAUUUUUCGUGAACAAUCUACAAUCACUAACUGACUAACAGAUGGCAUAGACAAGGCACAUGAGCAAAUAUAAAGCUGCCUACUACAGUUCUACUCAUUGUUGAAGCAUCAUCAGUUCAUCACCUCGGGAUUUCGUCUGUUGUGAUGUGUGAUGCUGCGGUGGUGGCUUUUUGGAUUUUGAUGAAGACUUGAUACAAAUUUGGAGUGGAGAAUAUUACCAUGCGUGUAGGAAGGAACGCGAAAGGCAACUGAAACUACAAGUAGCCUACCAUCAAUUCUUUGAUUAAAAUCGCCGUUCUGCUGAAUGCUUUAUCCUGUUGAUGCAGAUCACUAACCCCAGCGUGGACAACACAUGUUGUUUUUUCAUGUUUUCUACAAAUAAUGGAUUGACAGACAAGCCAUGGGUAAUCUUCAGGUUAAUUGCAGCAACUUGGGACUUGGGAGAAGUCCUGUGAAAAGACACAGGGCACAUGACCAGAUUUGUGUUUUUCUGAAUGUUCUAUUCAAGUAGUAGUUAGUUGGAAGUUGGAACCCUAACUCAAACACAGACAACACAUUGCUGCUGCCUUACGGCCACAGGCAGGAAAAUGAUUCUUUUCUUCAGAAAAUUGGAAAGCUGUUUGAGUAAUAAUCUGGUAUUCAUCCUCACUUGAUUCAUUUCGUGCCAGUUAGUGAAAGGCGUGAAG
Long non-coding RNA from Daphnia pulex (common water flea), 1046 nucleotides. RefSeq lists it as uncharacterized. NCBI's taxonomy places the organism in Eukaryota, Metazoa, Arthropoda, Branchiopoda, Diplostraca, Daphniidae. The transcript has 8 exons. The record is from RefSeq and is a predicted model, not a curated record.